AUGAGAGGUACUGCCUGCCCAGUGACUCAUUCAACGGCCACGGUAUUUUGACCGUGCAAAGGUAGCAUAAUCACUUGUUUUUUAAAUAAAGACCUGUAUGAAAGGCAAGACGAAAGCUCAACUGUCUCCUCUGUCUAGUCUACGAAACUGAUCUCCCUGUAAAAAAGCAGGGAUAUAACCGCAAGACGAGAAGACCCUAUGGAGCUUAAGAUAAAAGGACAAUUUUAAUAUUAAAUUAUGUUCUAAUACCUUUAGUUGGGGCGACUACGGAGCACACAAACCCUCCGCGAACUAUGUACUAAGCAAAACAAACCAAUGUACUAAAACAUCUACUACAAUUGACCCAGUAUCCACUGAUCAACGGACCAAGUUACCCUAGGGAUAACAGCGCAAUCUUCUCUUAGAGUCCAUAUCACCGAGAAGGCUUACGACCUCGAUGUUGGAUCAGGAUACCCAGACAAUGCAACCGUUGUCAUUGGUUUGUUUGUUC
This 490-nucleotide ribosomal RNA is filed under the name Oscaecilia ochrocephala. RNAcentral's name for it is "partial 16S ribosomal RNA". It matches the Rfam family "Bacterial large subunit ribosomal RNA", at positions 1845 to 2582 of the family's 2925-position model. The record is from RNAcentral. Lineage: Eukaryota; Metazoa; Chordata; Amphibia; Gymnophiona; Caeciliidae.